Molecule: ribosomal RNA, 699 nt
Filed under: uncultured bacterium
Lineage: Bacteria
Description: bacterial SSU rRNA
Rfam family: Bacterial small subunit ribosomal RNA
Source: RNAcentral
AGAGUUUGAUCCUGGCUCAGGACGAACGUUGGCGGUGCGCUUAAUGCAUGCAAGUCGAGGGAGAAGCAGACGUUCCGUAAGGUUCGACUGUGGAAACCGGCGAACGGGUGCGUAACACGUGAGAAACCUGCCCCCCAGAUCGGGAUAGCCCAGGGAAACUUGGAUUAAUACCGGAUACUCUCUUUGGAUCGCAUGAUCCAUUGAGGAAAAGUCCGCUGCUGGGGGAUGGUCUCGCGGCCUAUCAGCUUGUUGGUGAGGUAACGGCUCACCAAGGCUAAGACGGGUAGCUGGUCUGAGAGGACGAUCAGCCACACUGGAACUGAGAUACGGUCCAGACUCCUACGGGAGGCAGCAGCAGGGAAUAUUGCACAAUGGGCGAAAGCCUGAUGCAGCGACACCGCGUGCGGGAUGAAUGCCUUAGGGUUGUAAACCGCUUUCGGGAGGGAAGAAAAUGACGGUACCUCCUAAAGAAGCUCCGGCCAACUACGUGCCAGCAGCCGCGGUAAUACGUAGGGAGCAAACGUUGUCCGGAUUUAUUGGGCGUAAAGGGCUCGUAGGCGGUUCAACAAGUCGAUCGUGAAAGCCCGGGGCUCAACCCCGGGAGGCCGGUCGAAACUGUUGUGACUAGAGUUCGGUAGAGGUGAGUGGAAUUCUCGGUGUAGCGGUGGAAUGCGCAGAUAUCGAGAGGAACACCAUUAG